RNAcentral lists this ribosomal RNA (808 nucleotides) under Lactiplantibacillus plantarum. RNAcentral's name for it is "bacterial SSU rRNA". It matches the Rfam family "Bacterial small subunit ribosomal RNA", at positions 21 to 795 of the family's 1533-position model. Lineage: Bacteria; Bacillati; Bacillota; Bacilli; Lactobacillales; Lactobacillaceae. The record is from RNAcentral.
UGCUCAGGACGAACGCUGGCGGCGUGCUAAUACAUGCAAGUCGAACGAACUCUGGUAUUGAUUGGUGCUUGCAUCAUGAUUUACAUUUGAGUGAGUGGCGAACUGGUGAGUAACACGUGGGAAACCUGCCCAGAAGCGGGGGAUAACACCUGGAAACAGAUGCUAAUACCGCAUAACAACUUGGACCGCAUGGUCCGAGUUUGAAAGAUGGCUUCGGCUAUCACUUUUGGAUGGUCCCGCGGCGUAUUAGCCAGAUGGUGAGGUAACGGCUCACCAUGGCAAUGAUACGUAGCCGACCUGAGAGGGUAAUCGGCCACAUUGGGACUGAGACACGGCCCAAACUCCUACGGGAGGCAGCAGUAGGGAAUCUUCCACAAUGGACGAAAGUCUGAUGGAGCCACGCCGCGUGAGUGAAGAAGGGUUUCGGCUCGUAAAACUCUGUUGUUAAAGAAGAACAUAUCUGAGAGUAACUGUUCAGGUAUUGACGGUAUUUAACCAGAAAGCCACGGCUAACUACGUGCCAGCAGCCGCGGUAAUACGUAGGUGGCAAGCGUUGUCCGGAUUUAUUGGGCGUAAAGCGAGCGCAGGCGGUUUUUUAAGUCUGAUGUGAAAGCCUUCGGCUCAACCGAAGAAGUGCAUCGGAAACUGGGAAACUUGAGUGCAGAAGAGGACAGUGGAACUCCAUGUGUAGCGGUGAAAUGCGUAGAUAUAUGGAAGAACACCAGUGGCGAAGGCGGCUGUCUGGUCUGUAACUGACGCUGAGGCUCGAAAGUAUGGGUAGCAAACAGGAUUAGAUACCCUGGUAGUC